GUAGGUGGCAAGCGUUGCCCGGAAUUAUUGGGCGUAAAGCGCGCGCAGGCGGUUCUUUAAGUCUGAUGUGAAAGCCCACGGCUCAACCGUGGAGGGUCAUGGAAACUGGAGAACUUGAGUACAGAAGAGGAAAGCGGAAUUCCACGUGUAGCGGUGAAAUGCGCAGAGAUGUGGAGGAACACCAGUGGCGAAGGCGGCUUUCUGGUCUGUAACUGACGCUGAGGCGCGAAAGCGUGGGGGAGCAAACAGGAUUAGAUACCCUGGUAGUCCACGCCGUAAACGAUGAGUGCUAAGCGUUAGGGGGUUUCCGCCCCUUAGUGCUGCAGCUAACGCAUUAAGCACUCCGCCCUGGGAGUACGGCCGCAAGGCUG
This 371-nucleotide ribosomal RNA is filed under the name uncultured organism. RNAcentral describes it as "partial 16S ribosomal RNA". It matches the Rfam family "Bacterial small subunit ribosomal RNA", at positions 527 to 896 of the family's 1533-position model. The record is from RNAcentral.